GCUGCUCUUGAAUGCUUUUAAUGAUGUUGCGGCUCUGUAUCGUAGCUUUUAAUUUUUAUUUACAACUUUUAGGUAAAUUUUAGAGCUUGAAAAAAUAAAUACUGUAAUGAAGAAAUUAAACGUUAUAAAUUGAACACAUAUCGAAAAUUAUGCGAGUUUAUGUCAGAAGGGAACGACCAGUGACAAUAACUACGAAAAUUAAAUGGAUGUUAAUGAAAAAGUAACAAAGAAGCUAUUAACUUUGUCAUUAACUGUGAAUUCGCCAUUGUUUACAUUUCUACCCCCCUUUGAAUAAUGGAAUAGGGAUUUGUCUUUCAUAUUCUUGAGGCAUGUUAGUUUCAAAAUGUUCCAAAGAGGAGAUCUUGUUUGGGGUAAAAUGAAAACUUACCCAUGGUGGCCAGCAAUUAUUCUAGAUGCCAAAGAUUGUGGAAAAAAACAGUCAAAAAAUAAAAUGUGGCUUUUUUGGUUUGGAGAUAAUAAAAUUUCAGAACUUGAAUGUGAACGAAUUGUGACUUUUGAAGAUAAUUACCUUGAAAAUACAUCCAAAAGAUCCGGAAAUCUUUUCAAGACUGCAGUACAAGAAAUUCUGAAGGU
Long non-coding RNA from Stegodyphus dumicola, 594 nucleotides. Lineage: Eukaryota; Metazoa; Arthropoda; Arachnida; Araneae; Eresidae. The record is from RefSeq and is a predicted model, not a curated record.